GGGUGCGACCAUACCAAAACAAAUGCACCGGAUCCCAACAGAUCUCCGAAGUUAAACGUGCUUGGGCGAGAGUAGUACUAGGAUGGUUGACCCCCUGGGAAGUUCUCGUGUUGCACCCC
RNAcentral lists this ribosomal RNA (119 nucleotides) under Olea europaea subsp. europaea. The record is from RNAcentral. Lineage: Eukaryota; Viridiplantae; Streptophyta; Magnoliopsida; Lamiales; Oleaceae.